RNAcentral lists this ribosomal RNA (274 nucleotides) under uncultured bacterium. RNAcentral describes it as "partial 16S ribosomal RNA". It matches the Rfam family "Bacterial small subunit ribosomal RNA", at positions 523 to 796 of the family's 1533-position model. The record is from RNAcentral.
AUACGAAGGGGGCUAGCGUUGUUCGGAAUCACUGGGCGUAAAGCGCGCGUAGGUGGAUCAAUUAGUUGAGGGUGAAAUCCCGGGGCUCAACCUCGGAACUGCCUUCAAUACCGUUGAUCUUGAGACCGAGAGAGGUGAGUGGAAUUCCUAGUGUAGAGGUGAAAUUCGUAGAUAUUAGGAAGAACACCAGUGGCGAAGGCGGCUCACUGGCUCGGUACUGACGCUGAGGUGCGAAAGCGUGGGGAGCAAACAGGAUUAGAUACCCUAGUAGUCC